Non-coding RNA from Oncorhynchus mykiss (rainbow trout), 1521 nucleotides. Lineage: Eukaryota; Metazoa; Chordata; Actinopteri; Salmoniformes; Salmonidae. The record is from RefSeq and is a predicted model, not a curated record.
CGAAUUUAAAGUCAACAACUGUAAAUGUGAUGAAAUAUGACAAUAACACGUCUAGUCAACCGAAUUGUUUGACUACAGGGGCUUCCCAAACGGUGUAAUUUAACAACUUUCGUAGAUCGCUAGCUACUGUAGCCUGCUGCUGCACAGGCAAGUUAGCGUUGGCUAUACAUUAUUUUUCUGUCAGCCAUUGAUGCCACUCGGUGAGUAUAUGAGGUAAUUGUGCUUAAUUUGCAACGAAUGAUGACUAAAUGUGAUGAAAUAUGACAAUAACACGUCUAGCCAACCGACUUGUUUGACUACAGGGGCUACCCAAAUUGUGUAAUUUAACAACGUUCGUAAAUCGCUAGCUACUGUAGGUGGACAAAACUCAAAGUUUAUUUGACCACUGACAAUCCUGUAAAACCUUAGCUAACAUCUAUAUCAACUAAAAUUUGGAAUUCUAUACUAUUUAAUUGUAUAUUUUCUUUAGUUUUUUGAUGGCAUGCAUUUGAAGUGUAUGUAGUUGAAUGAAUUGUAUUGAUGGACAUUGGGGGCAAACGUGUCUUUCUAUGUAAACUGAAUUUAACUGCAAAUGAAAUAAUAAUCAUCCUACCCAUAACCCCCAAACCCCCCACUGCUGUCCUCCUCCUAGCAGACCUAUCAAGCAAACGUAAGUUCCUUUAUAUGAAUCUAAUACAUACGGUUAUGCUGUUCCUUGUCACUGCACUCAUCAGUCAUGAUAAUAGUAUUUUUCUUGCCUCCUAAGAUGGAAAAUCCAAGGUUCCGUUUCUCGCCCUCACAGGAGUUGGUCCUCAAGGCCACACACCCCAGGCAGUAUGCAGGAGGCGAGACAACUGUGUCCAAUUUGGCCUAGUGUUUAAUAUCUUAACAAUGUGGAGUAAUUAUAGUUGAUGAAUUUACCUCAGCACUUUCUGAGGAGGGCCUUGGAGGCAGGAAGGACUGCCAGGAGGGCAAGGCCCUUGUCGGCAUCGGGAAGUACAAGUGGGACUCACUACAGGACCUGUAUGAGGCUACGGGUGCAGACAGGAUAAAAUAUAUGUCAGGAGCUUGAGGGCGCAGACACCCCGUUAUCCUGGGAGUGCAAUGGCCGCCUUGAUUGGCUACAUUCAGCGCAUAGACCAGGAGGGGGUAGCUGCUGUGGCCAGGCCCGCCCCAGCCAGCACCACCCCUGCCAACACCAUCCGGCCCAAGAGUGCGGCUACGUAAGUGUAGGGACCUGACCCUGAUUGAUACAUGUUAUUUGAACGAACGCAUUCAUUUUGGGGGUAAUUGCUUUUCUUUUAAUGAACUUAAGUUGUAUUGAUAUUUUAUUGUUUGGAUUGUUUAUUUUUGUAAGAUAAACAAAAUGUAUGGACUAGAAAAAAAUAAAAUCACCUUUGGGGAACUGCCUGUUCAGAACUGGAAGCCACCAUGGACAUGUCAGGUGUGGAGGUGGGUCCUUGUAUUUCCCAGCAUUAUUUGUUUUUUGUGUGUGUUACAACUCUGUAAACCGUGUGUUUGACUAAUAAAAUGACAUAUUUA